GUCACACUGGGCAGGAGAACAGCCACAGACGAGGAAGUGAAGCCAGAGAAUGAUACCAAAAAGCAGCCAAGAAGUCAGUGGUGAGGCAGGACCAGAGCUCCUAGCUAUUGGAUAAUUUUAAUAGUCUUUCUACAAGAAGCGAUAGCCAGCAAGGACGGCAAUGCAUUUAGCAUGUUUUUUUUCUUGCACCAAGACAAACUAUGAGAUGAGAAGAUACGGAGGGAUGGAAGGAGAAAACGAG
This 241-nucleotide long non-coding RNA is filed under the name Fukomys damarensis (Damara mole-rat). RNAcentral describes it as "lncRNA (ENSFDAG00000032309.1)". The record is from RNAcentral. Lineage: Eukaryota; Metazoa; Chordata; Mammalia; Rodentia; Bathyergidae.